Non-coding RNA from Coturnix japonica (Japanese quail), 1276 nucleotides. NCBI's taxonomy places the organism in Eukaryota, Metazoa, Chordata, Aves, Galliformes, Phasianidae. The record is from RefSeq and is a predicted model, not a curated record.
CAAGGGGUUGUAGUGCUCAUCUGGGAAGUGGGAGUGCACAGUUCUAGGUGCAGGGCUUUAGAAUUACUGUUUUAGCUUAAGGUUUCAGUUACUGAAGUAACUGGUGUAUAAAUUGAAUGUGGAGAAUCUGGAUAAAAUAUAGUGGUAGUUGGGAGUGUUGCUGUAUCUUUCUAAUUCCUACAGUUUCUUACUGCAGGAUUCUAUUUGAAUUGAGCAAAGCUGGCUAGUUGUUUGAGUGAUUUUCAGAUAAGGUCUGGGAAAUCAGGCAAGAACAGUGUUUUAGAUUAUUGAGAAAGAUGAAGAAAUUGCUUGAUGUCAGCAUGUUGAUGAUGGGAGGACACUUGCUUCUUUCUUCUCUUCCUGGUAUGAGGAACAAGAGAGGUGGUUCUGCUGAAACCAAGUGUCACCAGGCUGCCUUAUGAAGUCAGUUGAAAUGUGGCAUAAGCCUGUCAGCCUGGGGAAGUACCCCUUUCUGGGUGGCUUUGUGUUCCUUGGCAAUUUUGUAUGCCUGCAUACAUUAUCCUCGUACAGGUGGUCUGCCUGAUCCUCUUUUGUGCCCUGGCAAAGGAAAAGGUAGAGAGGAAAGGAGUAGGUGUCAGCACAGUAUGGCAGAGUGCAAGAAAACACCAGUAAAAGUGCAGCAGGAUCGCCUGUCAUCGCCUGUGGUGGGGGUGGAGAAACCUGGUCCUCACAUGCCACCUAGUGUAGGAAGCUGAGCAGCAGACCCGCGAGGAUGGGCUCUGUAAGCUGGGGUCACUAAAUGGGAAGUAAUGGAGACCUGAAGGCUGCCACGAGAUAAGCCACCACUGCCCUGCAGCUUCCUGAAUUUUGCUCUGCUAUUUAUUGUAUUUCCACCAGUGGAUUUCUGACUGAGUUGUCCAGCCACUGUCCUGCUGGGACUGAUAAGCAACAAUACCUUGAUCCAUCCUUGCAUCAGGUUUAAAAGCAGAUCUUGCCCUUUCUCCUACCUACUUUCACCUGUGUGCAGGCUUCCAUGCUCCCAUAUGUGUUCAUUGUGGUGUAAAUAAGAUUUUAUGUGGUGUGUAAAUAAGGAAAUCCCUAGAAGCAAGAGAGCACUUUAGAAGUUUGGCUUGUGUGAUGGCAAAAUGAUGACAUGUAACUUCAUCACUAAUGAAGGCCGUAUGUGAGAAAUGUGUGUUGAGAAAUGGGUGAAACAUAGCACAGGGGAAGAAGAAAUGGAAUGUCAUCAUAUGUUUUCCAUUUGCAUCCACAUUUUAAAAAAAUAAAUAUAGUAUUUCUACUCUUUCCAAGGCAA